Molecule: ribosomal RNA, 2682 nt
Filed under: Triticum aestivum (bread wheat)
Lineage: Eukaryota; Viridiplantae; Streptophyta; Magnoliopsida; Poales; Poaceae
Description: partial small subunit ribosomal RNA
Source: RNAcentral
CACGCACGCAAAAAAACACCACCCGGCACAAACACCUCUCGUAUCGAUCCCCUCGAGGAGAAGCCGUCGCCCCCAUCUCCCGCUCCGCCGCCACCGCCCCCCGCCUUACCGUAUCACCCCCGCCGCCGCCUCCCUCGCCCGCGGCCAUGAUGAGAUCUGGCGUGGGCGCCGCAGAUCACCCUCUGGUGCAUGGCCUCGACCAGUUUGCUAUGAUCUGGCGACGGGGAUGCAAGGAGAAGCUGCUGCGGUUUCAAGGGGCCGUGAGGAUGCCCACCAUGAAGGCGUGUCUGGGAUGAUGGAGGUGAUAUCCAGGCCCUGGUGAUAUCGGCCAGGUCCCCGUUGCCGUCGACUGGCGGCGGCCACCGUGUCCUCUUCCAUGGCGUCGGCGGGGCCUUCCCCUGCCAAGCGCAGCCGCUCCUUGGCUGGAUCACCGUCGGACACCUCGCCGGCGUGGUCGGCAAGAUCUGCAUCUCGAUCCUCGCCACUCUCCAUCCUCUUGCAGGUUUAUAAAUUUCGAAAUAUAGUUGCAGCUUCACGGAAUGGACGGCCCAAAUUAUGUUAGUGUCUAUAUGUUUACUUGGUGGUGGUCUAGCAUGAGUGACACCUGCAUCUGUAACUUACCCAUUGGAUGUUGUUCGAAAUCACCUGACAACACAGAAAACCACUAGGUAUUACAAGGGCAUCUUUCACACGUUGUCUACAAUUUGUAGAGAAGAGAGUGGUAGAGGAUUGUAUAAAGGCCUUUGGUCCACCUUAUUGGGAGUUGGACCUGAUAUAUCAAUCAACGUUUAUGUAUAUGAAUCCCUGAGGUCUCAUUGGCAAAUGGAAAGUUGAAUGUCAAACUGUGCGACCAAUGAUUUGCUAUGGUUAAUUCCAGUUGGGUGUGUUAACCUACAGUAAUCAAUCAAGUCAACAAAUAUAACAAUGAUACUUUGUCUUCUGAUUUUUGGUGGUGAUUUUUUUUUGUGACUGAACUAACAGGAGCUGAAGCAUGUGUUCUUAUUUUUUUAUAUGACUAGAUGCAUAUGAACUGAAGCUCCAUAAUUUUCUUUUCAAGUCGACAUUGGUGGCAACCAAUACAAUUAGCGUUAUUUACAACCAAUGAAGUCUUAUAAUUUUCUUUCUUAGAAAUAUACAGUGACACUGACUAUCAUUUAGUAGCUCUACAGGCACUAGCCAAAAACAAUAAUGUUUAUUUAUUUAACCACCAAAUAGAACAAUAGGUUAUUCUGCAUUAUGGGUACACAAAUCACAACACUAUAUUUCAGCUGUAGAAAUCUGUGUGGAUGCCUGCUGAUAUUUUAAGCCUACAUAUUGCCGAUUUGGUUUGAGGAAUGCUUGAAGCAUAAUUUACUCCCUAAUGUGCAAAUAGCAGUAUCAUUUUUUGUCAAGAAACUGAGAAGACGGAAGAGAGUUGGUGUUGUCAGUGUGGUGAGCCUAUGCGGCAACCACAAGGCUGAAGUCUGCUUUGAUCGUUGUUCAAGAUUUGAGCCUUGGCUCCGGUUUUGAUAGCUCUAUUUCAACUUUCAGUGAGUUUUUGUUCUCGGACUUGGGAUCCACAGUCCAAAGUUGAUUGGUGGAUCAAGUGAACUUGGUGCAUCUCCAUUCAAGCUGGCGUACAAUUACCAACCUGCUUAUUUAGCGCAGUCUCUACAAUCAUACAAGCAAAUGAGCAUCUGUGGUGGCUUUGGGCGCGUGUUUGAGGCUGGUCCGGUAUUUAGAUCAGAAAAAUCAAACACUCACAGGCAUCUAUGUGAGUUUAUUGGGUUGGAUGCAGAAAUGGAGAUUAAGGAGCACUACUUUGAGGUUUGUGAUAUCAUAGAUUGCUAAUUGUAGCAAUAUUCAAACACCCAAAUGAAAAUUGUCAGAAGGAACUCGAGACAAUAAAUAGGCAGUAUCCAUUUGAACCUCUGAAGUACCUAGAGAAAACGUUGAAGCUAACGUACGAGGAAGGGAUUAAAAUGCUCAAGGUUUCAUUCUGGAAUCCUCUAGGCAGGGUGCUUGCAAUCCCCUACAUCUCGGCUGCAACAAAAAAGACCCAACGAGGCUGUUGUUUCAAGCUCAGACCCUCUUCAUUGCACGCGGUGCUAGAAGGAGAACUGGGUUGUGGUGCUGUUGCUGGUCGUUUUCCUUUUUACUUUUGCACUUUGGCCGUCAUAAACGAUACAUGCUUGCUCCCUGGAUGGAUCUCUUUCUCUCCCUGGAUCUUUUAAACAGGUGUUGUGAUUAAAAUUGUGAUAAAUCAGUGUUCAUCACUAUUCUUUUUGGACUUGAAUAGAUCUAUGUCUAAAUUACACAUAAUGUGUAGGAGAAAAUUACUAUAGCUGGACUUUCAUGUCUUUCUUGAAUCCAUGGCAAAGCAUAGUCACCUUAGUACUAUGUUGCUUUGCACAUGUCUUCUCAUGGCCUUAUUAAAGAUCUUGUUUCCAUGGCUUUAAACACAAGAUGAUAUUUUUGUAGCAUAUUUCAUAUAAGUUUUCCUCCUAUAAGGCUAUAAUUUCAAAUUCAAGCCCACCCAACACACAAAGUUUCUAUCUUCUUAUUUUCUAUACAAGUAGUAGCUGGCGCAGCGGUGGUGUUGAUGAACGACACCCAAUGCAGAGGCGGCAGUUACCAUAGGGAAGAGGUCAAGAACAUCUAGCUCUUGUGGUGUUCCUCCUCAUUGUUGUCAUCGCCAUCAAC